UGCCAGCAGCCGCGGUAAUACGGAGAAGACGAUCGUGAUUCGGAAUCAUUAAACGUAAAAAACGCGUAGGCGGCUUGACAAGUCAGUGGUGAAAUCCCUCGGCUCAACCGAGGAACUGCCUCUGAAACUGUCUCGCUUGAGGCCGGGAGAGGGUGGUGGAAUUCCCAGUGUAGCGGUGAAAUGCGUAGAUAUUGGGAGGAACACCGAUAACGAAGGCGGCCACAUGGACCGGUUAGGAAGCGGAGGCGAGCACGUGUGAGGCGCAAACAGGAGUAGAUC
This 279-nucleotide ribosomal RNA is filed under the name uncultured bacterium. Its description in RNAcentral is "partial 16S ribosomal RNA". It matches the Rfam family "Bacterial small subunit ribosomal RNA", at positions 506 to 784 of the family's 1533-position model. The record is from RNAcentral.